This is a long non-coding RNA of Mastomys coucha (southern multimammate mouse), 787 nucleotides long. RefSeq lists it as uncharacterized. The transcript is spliced from 2 exons. Lineage: Eukaryota; Metazoa; Chordata; Mammalia; Rodentia; Muridae. The record is from RefSeq and is a predicted model, not a curated record.
AGCUGUAAAACUCUAAUAGGGCCAUGGAACACCAAUGAAGCCAUGACCAUGGUGAUACCAUAGGAGAUACAGCCACAGUGUAAAUGACACCACUUAAAGCAGAAAAGAACAGAAGACCCAGAGGAGAGUACUGGUCUACCUGGAGGCACUCAUUAGAGUUGGUUUGUUAGAACUAAGAUUGGUAAUGCUGAGUUAUAUUCUUUAGUAACAGAGACAAGCUGUAAGAUACAAGAGGCAGCACUGGAUUGAACUAAACUGUUGUGAUUUCCACUCAUGAGUGUAAAAACUUUCUGAUUGGCACCAUCCUAUAUCCAAGGGCUUGAAGAACAAAGCAACUACUCUGGUUUUUUUUCCGCAUUCAAGUGAAAUGGAAAUUAAGUGCUAAGGUGUCUCUUAGAACUUAAAAAUUAUACUGAACUGCCAACGCUUUGUUUUGUAAAGAACCAAUGGCUCAACUACCUGCCUGUUACUUUUCAUCAUCCAAGGAGAACUUAAGACCUGCUCAGCAAGAGGGAAAUUAAUCAAGCACCAAAGCAUGAGUUAUAUAUAAAUCUACAGGCUCUUCUUUUUCAUAUUCUUUCUCAUAUGAAUGUGGUGACAACAGAGUGACUGCUGAGUAACUUAGCUGAGCUGAGCUGCUCUUUGCCUCACUAUACCAUCUCCCAGGAUUUCUGUGCAGGGACUGUGAAGCGGGAGCAUGUUUUAUAAACUUAAUGGUCCCUAUACAAAUGAGCUAUAAUUUUUAUUGUAACUUAUUACUAAAAUAAAACCGUGGAAAGAAUUUGUA